This 296-nucleotide signal recognition particle RNA is filed under the name Aotus nancymaae (Ma's night monkey). RNAcentral's name for it is "Metazoan signal recognition particle RNA (ENSANAG00000004016.1)". It matches the Rfam family "Metazoan signal recognition particle RNA". Rfam says of the family: The signal recognition particle (SRP) is a universally conserved ribonucleoprotein. It is involved in the co-translational targeting of proteins to membranes. The record is from RNAcentral. Lineage: Eukaryota; Metazoa; Chordata; Mammalia; Primates; Aotidae.
GCUAGGUGUAGUGUGUACCUGUAGUUCCAGCUACUCGGGAGGCUGAGGCAGGAGGAUGGCUUGAGCCCAGGAGUUCCGGGCUGUAGUGCACUAUGCCAAUCAGGUGUUUGUACUGAGUUCAGCAUCAAUAUGGUGACCUCCCGGGAGCGAGAGACCACCAUGUUGCCUAAGGCAGGGUAAACCAGCCCAGGUCGUUAAUGGAGCAGGUCAAAACUCCAGUGCUAAUCAGUAAUAGGACUGUGCCUGUGAAUAGCUACUGCACUCCAGCCUGGUCAACAUAGGGAGACGCCAUCUUU